UACGUAGGGUGCAAGCGUUGUCCGGAAUUAUUGGGCGUAAAGAGCUCGUAGGCGGUUUGUCGCGUCUGGUGUGAAAACUCAAGGCUCAACCUUGAGCUUGCAUCGGGUACGGGCAGACUAGAGUGUGGUAGGGGUGACUGGAAUUCCUGGUGUAGCGGUGGAAUGCGCAGAUAUCAGGAGGAACACCGAUGGCGAAGGCAGGUCACUGGGCCACUACUGACGCUGAGGAGCGAAAGCGUGGGGAGCGAACAGG
Molecule: ribosomal RNA, 253 nt
Filed under: uncultured bacterium
Lineage: Bacteria
Description: partial 16S ribosomal RNA
Rfam family: Bacterial small subunit ribosomal RNA
Source: RNAcentral